Molecule: long non-coding RNA, 1549 nt
Organism: Panicum hallii
Lineage: Eukaryota; Viridiplantae; Streptophyta; Magnoliopsida; Poales; Poaceae
Exons: 2
Source: RefSeq, a predicted model, not a curated record
UACAAUAUGCAGAAUGGUCUUUUACAUUUGCUCUAUUUACACCAACAAGAACAGAAGGCUCCCUAAUUUUAAUGCACAAAAGUUCAUGACUUAAUGCUUCCAAUGAAUACUGCUUCGAUGUACGCCAAAUAAUAUUUAACUGGCAAAACCAGAUUCCUACAUAAAGUUAUGCUUUAAUUUGUUUAGAGCAAGAUGUUUGGUUGAUCUCUUAUUCUUCAGUAAUCCCAGGUAGUGGCCUCGUGGAUUGUAGGUUCUCUGACGAAGGAACUCAUGGCUCUGGUUGCAGGUUCAUAAGGACUGCAGGCUUGUAUUGGCUUCCUUGCCUACCAUGAGGACUCUAGCAGGCUUUGUGUUGGUUGCCUUGCCCACCUCUCAGUCUUAUUCCAUUUCUCUCUGUUAAUGCUAACAAGUCACAUGGGUUCUCCGUGGGAAGUAGAUGAAUAACAGUUGAAGUGGAACAUUUUUUUUCUACUUACUUUUUAAUACUACAGUAUGGCAUAUAUGUCCAAUGCUUCCUCGAGUGCUAACCAACUUCAUUUUUUUAUUCUACUAAUUCUUGAUCCUGCUGAACAUUGAAUCUAUGAAUCAAACUUGUGACACCUUUCUUAACAGCUUAGGCUAUAACCAAUAGUUUAAUUCUUUCAGCCUUCUAGAUCUUCAUGCUCCUAGUCAGAAAAAUGUUGAAGGGAGCGUAUCUGGUGAGAACUGGCUAAACUUGAAAAACCUGUCAAAACUCAUAUGUAGGAGUUUUACAAAAAAAAAUCUUGAAAAUCUGACCUUCCAAAUUGAUGUCGUAUUAUCAGACAACACAAAAUUUCUGGACCAAACUUUGUCAAAUUUUAUGAGACGCAAAAAUCACACUGAUAAGCUUCAAUCUCGAAUGGUCUAGUUUGAGUACUCAUUUCAUUGUUGGCAGAACUAGGACAAAUUAUCUACUGUGUUCAGGGUGCGUGGCGAGUCGGCGACUGCUCUUAUUGGUUGUUACACUACACCAAAGUGAUUGAUUCAACAUUUCAUUUAUCGACCAGCUUGAUUGUUUCAGGCAAGCAUGCUUAUCAACUAAGAGAUUCUGCAGGUAUUCAGUGUUGUACUGUUUUUAAUGUAUGAAUCCGUAUUUUUUUUGCUGACCCUUUUUAGACAAGUAGGACGGUGCCUCAAAUUUCGUAGAGUCUUCACAUUGCUAUGUAUGAAGCAAUUAGACCUAUUGUCUGCUCAUAUGCUUCUAAAUAUGUCCAAAUCAUUCAAGAAGAUGCUUCUUGUCCUGAGAAUGAUGAUAUUGUAGAUAAUGCUCCAAUUCAAUCAAGUUGUAGCCAAUGAUGACUUUCUUCUUUGUUUUUGUAUAAUUGACAGGUUGCUGGAAUGUUUUAGUGUUCCUGUCAAGUCUUUGUCUUUCAAUGUACUAGUAACAUGGAUCGUGCCUUCCAAUAUUAGUACCAGUAAUUUGGGUAUGAAGUCAGUUUAAUGUAAAUAUAUGAGUACUCUGGAUAUUACAGACACACUGUAAUAACUAACUGCUAAUCAACCUAGUUUGACAGUUGCAUGUUGUAUU